GGCCAGGCUGCUGGCGAAGGGGGCAGGCAGGGCGCUGGGGUGCUGCAGAUCCUCAAUGGAUCUGCUCCAGGGCUUCGGCUUCUCUAGCGCGCCGUCCUCGCCGCCUUCCAGGCCCUCAAAAUCAAACCUGGGUGGGAGACGGGCGCAGACAGCGCACGGCUUCGUGGCGGAGCRGCGCAGCCCCCGGAGCAAGCGCGGAAGCGGAGCGCGGCAGCGGCAGGCGCGAGAGCAGCCCCGGGCCCGGCCCGACCCGCGUCCCGCGGGCACCGAGCGCCUACUCACAUGACGGCGCACUGGGCGAAGGACAGGUAGUUCACCAGCACGUCCAGGCCCUUGUUCUCGUCGUUGAGGAACUCGCGCACCCACCUGCGGCAGGGCAGGGAGCCGGGCGUCAGCGCCGGGGGCGCCCACUGGACCCCCCCCCCUCCGGUGAUGGGGACGCGGAGGGGACGGCGGUGGCAGCCCGGCAGCCGUUGCGGCUAUCGCCCGCACCAACAUUGUCUGGGCUUUAUCUGCCGGCUGCAGAGACGGGAGGGCUCGGCGCAGGGCGGGACGCUCUCCCUUGUCCCCGCACCUCCGAAAACCCCCGGGACCGUCCCCGCGUCCCCUGGUCCCGGGCACCCCGGCGGGAGGCGGCCGCAGUUCCCCCAGGGGCUGCCGUGACAGUGUCACGGUGCACGUGCAAGGGCCCGAUUCAGUGCAAGGGAGGCCCACCCGUGACGUGCUCAGGGUGCAAACAGGGGGKGCUUGGCCCUGGGAUGCAGCCGUGUGCACGGGGAAAGGUGCACGAGGUGCACGAGGCACAGGGAAACGGGGCUGCAUGCACGAGGUGUGAGCGCACAGGACGUGCGCACACAGCAAGAGAGCUGCAUGUGCAUGGGGAGAGAGGGCUGCAUGCGCACAGGAUGCAUGCGCACAGGGCAAGGGGGCUGCGUGCACGGGGUGCGCGUGCGCAGGACGCGUGUGCACAGGGAAAAGGGGCUAACGUGCACACAGGGCAAGGGGGCUGCGUGCAGGGGGUGCGCGUGCACGGGGGGAGCGGGCCGCGCGUGCAAGGGAUGCAUGCACGAAGGGAGAGGGGGCUGCACACAGGGGCUGCACGUGCACGGAGCGCUCGUGCCCAAGGAGAGGGGCCGCGUGCGUGGGAUGCACGGACACAGGGACGCAGGCCCGUGCCGGGACGCGCGUGCCCGGUCGGCAGGCGCGCGCUGC
RNAcentral lists this long non-coding RNA (1212 nucleotides) under Apteryx haastii (Great spotted kiwi). RNAcentral describes it as "lncRNA (ENSAHAG00000008977.1)". Lineage: Eukaryota; Metazoa; Chordata; Aves; Apterygiformes; Apterygidae. The record is from RNAcentral.